This 225-nucleotide ribosomal RNA is filed under the name Neodiplostomum spathula. RNAcentral describes it as "partial small subunit ribosomal RNA". Lineage: Eukaryota; Metazoa; Platyhelminthes; Trematoda; Diplostomida; Diplostomidae. The record is from RNAcentral.
ACUCCAGCUCCAAAAGCGUAUAUUAAAGUUGCUGCAGUUAAAAAGCUCGUAGUUGGAUCUGGGUCGUGCGUUCACAUGUCGUCGCUUGGUUCUGAUUUCGGUCAGUUCCAAGUGAUGGUAAAGUGGUCGUGCAGCCUUUCAGCCGUGUCUGCGUGAGCAGGUGUUGGCUGGCCGGUGAGCUUGCUUGCUGGCCAGUAGACAUGUUUCCUGAUGCCUUUAAACGGG